RNAcentral lists this ribosomal RNA (326 nucleotides) under uncultured eukaryote. RNAcentral's name for it is "partial 18S ribosomal RNA". It matches the Rfam family "Eukaryotic small subunit ribosomal RNA", at positions 1470 to 1796 of the family's 1831-position model. The record is from RNAcentral.
CCCUUAGAUGUUCUGGGCCGCACGCGCGCUACACUGAAUGGAUCAACGUGUUUUCCCUUCCCGAGAGGGACGGGUAACCCGCUGAACCCCAUUCGUGGUAGGGAUCGGAGCUUGCAAUUGUUCUCCGUGAACCAGGAAUUCCCAGUAAGCGCAAGUCAUAAGCUUGCGUUGAUUACGUCCCUGCCCUUUGUACACACCGCCCGUCGCUCCUACCGAUUGAAUGGUCCGGUGAAGCGCUCGGACCGCGGCCUCUUGACGGUUCGCUGUCGAUUGGCUGUGGGAAGUUCGUUAAACCUUAUCAUUUAGAGGAAGGAGAANUCGUANCA